CUCUGUAUAUUCAGUCCUCUUCAGAUCAGUCUCUAACAACAUUUCCCCAGGCGGUUAUCCGAGGGAUCUACUAACCUGCAACUGCUAAUGGAUUUGAUUCCUUCCUCUCCCACUCCAAACGUAGCAUCACAAUCUCCAGGGUCAUGAGCUGGCCCAGACAGGCUGUCAAGUAAAGCUUCUGCGAGUGCCAGGAAUAUGCUAAAAUGCCAUGAAUUUCAUGGGAACGCUUAGAAGAAUUACGGUCACACCUAGAGGCCGCAACCGCAAUCAGGGACCCACCCUAAGAUUCCCAAAGAUGCCAGGAGGCAAAGCAAAGAUGAACUUCGCAGCUGGAUCUUCCUGUUUGGAGCAAGUCCACGUCUCAUCUGUGCCACCUCCACUGAGAAGACCUUUGUGAAGUCCCUGAGUGCUGUUGCCAAACAGGAGUACCUGGAACUGGUCGUGUUCCUGUCCUACUAGAAAUCUAAGAAACCUUCUGUGCCAUGGGUGAACAUUCACAUGAAAUUAAUCAUCUUUCAUGCUGAAAGCAACAAACCAUCUGUCUUCUUCCAGAGAUGAAAUUAUCAGUGCCAACGUAACUACGCCGAAUUUGCAAAUAAAAAUAUUUAGUUGAUGCAA
Long non-coding RNA from Chelonia mydas (Green sea turtle), 618 nucleotides. RefSeq lists it as uncharacterized. The transcript is spliced from 3 exons. The record is from RefSeq and is a predicted model, not a curated record. NCBI's taxonomy places the organism in Eukaryota, Metazoa, Chordata, Testudines, Cheloniidae.